CUGCGAGUGAACAGGGAUUAGCCCAGCACCGAAGCCUGUGGCCAGUUGGUCACUAGGCAAUGUGGUGUUCAGGUUGUUCCGCAAAGGUACUGCUCCACCCUAAGUCCAUAAAUGAGUACGGUGGUACGGACAUGGCCCACAGAGGGUGAAAGGCCCGUGGGGGUGGAGACCAGGUAGGCCAGUAUCUUUCUGGAUAGACCUUGGAGUCGGGUUGUUUGUGAAUGCAGCCCAAAGUGGGUGGUAAACUCCAUCCAAGGCUAAAUACAAGCACGAGUCCGAUAGCGAACAAGUACCGUGAGGGAAAGUUGAAAAGUACUUUGAAGAGAGAGUAAACAGUGCGUGAAACCGGUCAGAGGUAAACGGGUGGAGUUGAACUGCAAGCUCUGGGAAUUCAGCUGGUGAGUGUGGCUAGAGCUUGGCUAAUAUGUUGAGCCCUGGAGUCUGCGUAGCAGCAGGCCUUUGCCCCUUGUGGGUGAGGGUGCGCGAUGCACUUACCAAGUGUUGUGCGCUCUGGGUGUUCAUCGAGCUGACUCGCCAGUGCACUUUCUCAGAGUGGUCAUCACGACCGGCACUGCUGUCUGGCUGGUGUGGUUAAACCGAUCUCGUAUUGUCCUUGUGGCUCUGCUUGGUCGGGAUGGCAGGUAGCUCGGUGAUUUGCCUGUGAUCUUCGGUCGCGGGCGCUGGUCAUUGAGUGUAACUGGCUGACCACAUUGGUUCUGUGCAGUGUGUCGGAGACGGCGGCUUUUGUGUGUGCGCGCGUGCCUGUCUGGCCGGCGUGUCCGGGUUUGGUCGUUUGUGCCUGUUCACGCAGGCCUGGCGAUGGCUCGGGUUCGUUCGGUUGGCGGUUGCGUGCGUGGCACAUUUAUUGGGCCAACAGUCUGUGAUGUAGUGGUAGACUAUCCACCUGACCCGUCUUGAAACACGGACCAAGGAGAGUAACAUGUGCGCGAGUCAUUGGGCGUUACGAAACCCAAAGGCGCAGUGAAAGUAAAGGUCUGGCUUGUCCAGGCUGAGGUGAGAUCCUGUCGUUUCUCAUGCGCGGUACCACCAAGCUACGAGCGGCAGGCGCAUCACCGGCCCGUCCCAUAACAAUUGUUUUCGAGCAGUACCCAGUGGGGGCGGAGCAUGAGCGUACAUGUUGAGACCCGAAAGAUGGUGAACUAUGCUUGCGCAGGUUGAAGCCAGAGGAAACUCUGGUGGAGGACCGCAGCGGUUCUGACGUGCAAAUCGAUCGCCAGACGUGAGUAUAGGGGCG
Molecule: ribosomal RNA, 1255 nt
Filed under: Langeronia macrocirra
Lineage: Eukaryota; Metazoa; Platyhelminthes; Trematoda; Plagiorchiida; Pleurogenidae
Description: eukaryotic LSU rRNA
Rfam family: Eukaryotic large subunit ribosomal RNA
Source: RNAcentral